This 265-nucleotide long non-coding RNA is filed under the name Nicotiana benthamiana. RNAcentral's name for it is "long non-coding RNA (NBEN_LNC001455)". The record is from RNAcentral. Lineage: Eukaryota; Viridiplantae; Streptophyta; Magnoliopsida; Solanales; Solanaceae.
AUAGGAGGGGGUACCUCAAAGCUCUUUGUUUUAAUCUUUUUUGGAUAAGGUAAGUAUGAGAACCAUUAUCAAACCAGCACAGAAUUAAAAUUUUCAACUGAAUUAUCCACAGUGAUCUAAUCGUCAAAAUAAAACUUCCAAGAAUCAGAAAAUUACAUUAUCCAAGUGAUCAUUCACAUACAUAUUGAGUCAACUAACAUAGUUCUAUUAGUUCAUUAAUCUUUCAGAAGUUCAUGCAAGGGUGCCUAAAAGUUCUUGGAAAUCA